Corythoichthys intestinalis (scribbled pipefish) is the source of this 3131-nucleotide long non-coding RNA. RefSeq lists it as uncharacterized. NCBI's taxonomy places the organism in Eukaryota, Metazoa, Chordata, Actinopteri, Syngnathiformes, Syngnathidae. The transcript is spliced from 4 exons. The record is from RefSeq and is a predicted model, not a curated record.
UUAACAUAUUGAUCAUGGACAUUUCGAACAUACGUCGCAUUAUAUGCUUUAGUUCGGUACCCAUUGGUGGUCUUCCCAUUGGGGAUUGCAUGGAGAUGGGAAUUACAGAGCUCUUCUCGGUCGUUAAGUCUCUGAUCAGCCAGCAGCGUGUUGUAAAGUAUUGUAUAGGAGUAUAUAAAAAAAAUGCCUAAGUGAAAAUUAAACCAAAAAAGUGAACUGCAUGGUACCCCAAGUCACACAGGUGGGAGAUCGGAGAUCGGUUUUACUUUCAUUAUUUUUCGCUGUCAAUUUUUUGCAACUUUCAGUAGAGUGAGACUCACAAAACGGCUGCUUUGAGAGGCUUCACCUGUCUCAGCCACUGGUUGUGGUUUCCACAUCCAGGAAAUAUACACAACACAAUAUGAUAAUAUACGCAACAUGUUUCUAUUUGGUUUUUUUCCCAGUGGUGAAUUCGAAACUGAGCAGAGAUUGUCACUCAAGUGACGAUGUUAGGCUUCUGUUGUUGUUUUCUCACGAUUUUCCUCAAUCACAACUCUGCGACAAUAUAAUAUAUAGACACAAACACACCGUAUGGCUCACGUAGAAUCACAGUUUUAAAUAUGUUGGGUGUUUUGGCUCUCUCCGUCAAAAAGGUUCCCGACCCCUGAUCUAAAGGCUGGAUUUCUUGGCAGGGAAAACCAAAGUUACAUGUUCUUUAUCACCCCAUCAGCAAAAAUAGAGUAGAACAGAAUCAUACCAAUUUUAUAUGGAAGUAUCAACACAAAAGCCACAUUUUAAAAUGUGAGACAACCUAAGAUGAUAAGACAACAACACAACAGCACCCUUUUCAGAAAUAACUAGUUCCUACGUCAAUGCUGAAACAUGUUCUUCGGUUACGACACGCUUCUGCAUAGCUGGCAAUUCAAUAUGGUACUUAAAUUGUUGAAAUUAGAUUACUCACCAGCAGAUAAAUCCUGGUUUGCGUGUUUGAAAAGCAUUCCCUCCACUCAGAGUUCCUUUUUUGGCACUGAGUAGAGUUGAAAAUGACUCCAGUUUAAACUUUUGUCAGUGAUGAAGCGAAAGCUCUCAGGCUGUUGAUCCCCCCACAGCAUGACUCAGAUACAGUGUGGCCCUUUUCCAGACAAGACAUUAAGACAUCGGAGUUAAAGCUAAAAAGUUGUGAUAAAGAGAAAAGAAGAUAAAGACAAGAGACUCCUGGACAGACAAGGAGGGUCUGGAAUUUGUUUAAUGAGUAUCAACUUGGUGACCAUUUUAAGAAAAAUGUUCGGAGCGUGUCUGUCGGAAUUUCUGUCCAUUCAUCCAGAAGAACCAUUCUAAAGAGUAAACAGAGUUCCAAAGUGUCCUUCAUGGAAAGACUUUUGGAGGCUGCCUGACAGACGACGGUUGCAGUGCUAGCUAGCCUUCAACAUGAAAGCUGUCAGUGGUGUUGCUGUUCCCUCACAGAUCAGGCCUCCCUCUGCUGAAAGGAGAGACAUGCUGACAUGGUGACCUGUGAAUGAAAUUGAAGUGGAUAGAUGGGCACAGUGGAUAAAGGCUGAAAGGAUGCUGUGUCAUCAUCUGCUUGAUGCUCACUACUUGGCCUACUUUCAGCUGCUAGGGUUGGUUUCAAAUGGAAAAUUCAGAACUUCGCAGCGUGAUUAGCUUAAUUGUACCCUGGUUUAAAUAUUUGUUCUACUUCAACUGUUUUUACUGAGCUCAAACUCCAUGAAACAUACCAGACAUCAGACCUAGCUUUAAACCGUGCAGGAUUUUGGCAGUGUCUCUCACAGUCUAGUGGCUCCCCUCUUCCUUCUCUCCUUCUCCUACUAUCUCAGAAAGACAUAUGUAUGACAUAUAUACAGUUCUGGUCAAAAGUUUACAUACACUUGUGAAGAACAUAAUGCCAUGGCGCUCUUGAGUUUCCAGUUAUUUCUACAACUCUGAUUUUUCUCUGAUAGAGUGAUUGGAGCAGAUACUUCUUUGUCACAAAAAACAUUCAUGAAGUUUGGUUCUUUUAUGACUUUAUUAUGGGUGAACAGAAAAAAGUGAUCAAAUCUGCUGGGUUAAAAAUAUACAUACAGCAGCGCUAAUAUUUGGUAACAUGUCCCUUGGCCAUUUUCACUUCAAUUAGGCGCUUUUGGUAGCCAUCCACAAGCUUCUGGCAAGCUUCUGGUUGAAUCUUUGACCACUCCUCUUGACAGAAUUGGUGCAGUUCAGUUAAAUUUGAUGGCUUUCUGACAUGGACUUGUUUCUUCAGCAUUGUCUACAAGUUCUCAAUGGGGUUUAAGUCAGGACUUUGGGAAGGCCAUUCGAAAACCUUAAUUCUAGCCUGAUUUAGCCAUUCCAUUACCACUUUUGAUGUGUGUUUGGGGUCAUUGUCCUGUUGGAACACCGAACUGCGCCCAAGACCCAAUGUUCGGGCUGAUGACGUCAGGUUAUCUUGAAGAAUUUGAAGGUAAUCCUCCUUCUUCAUUAUCCCAUUUACUCUCUGUAAAGCACCACUUCCAUUGGCAGCAAAACAGCCCCACAGCAUAAUACUACCACCACCGUGCUUGACGGUAGGCAUGGUGUACUUGGGGUUAAAGGCCUCACCUUUUCUCCUCCAAACAUAUUGCUGGGCAUUGUGGCCAAACAGCUCGAUUUUUGUUUCGUCUGACCACAGAACUUUCCUCCAGAAGGUCUUAUCUUUGUCCAUGUGAUCAGCAGCAAACUUCAGUCGAGCCUUAAGGUGCUGCUUUUGGAGCAAGGGCUUCCUUCUUGCACGGCAGCCUCUCAGUCAAGGGAGAUGCAAAACACGCUUGACUGUGGACACUGACACCUGUGUUCCAGCAGCUUCUAGUUCUUGGCAGAUCUCUUUUUUGGUGAUUCUCGGUUGAAUCUUCACCCUCCUGACCAAUUUUCUCUCAGCAGCAGGUGAUGGCUUGCAUUUUCUUCCUGACUGUGGCAGUGACAAAACAGUGCCAUGCACUUUAUACUGACAAACAAUUGUUUGCACUGUUGCUCUAGGGACCUGCAGCUGCUUUGAAAUGGCUCCAAGUGACUUUCCGGACUUGUUCAAGUCAAUGAUUAUUCAAGUCAAUAAUCACUCACAAGAAAUUGCUAAUUCGUGUUGCUGUAUGUAUAUUUUUGACCCAGCAGAUUUGAUCACUUUU